RNAcentral lists this ribosomal RNA (460 nucleotides) under uncultured bacterium. RNAcentral's name for it is "partial 16S ribosomal RNA". It matches the Rfam family "Bacterial small subunit ribosomal RNA", at positions 338 to 795 of the family's 1533-position model. The record is from RNAcentral.
CCUACGGGAGGCAGCAGUGAGGAAUAUUGGUCAAUGGGCUUACGCCUGAACCAGCCAAGUCGCGUGAGGGAAGACUGCCCUAUGGGUUGUAAACCUCUUUUGUCAGGGAGCAACGCCGGCUACGUGUAGCCGGACUGAGAGUACCUGAAGAAAAAGCAUCGGCUAACUCCGUGCCAGCAGCCGCGGUAAUACGGAGGAUGCGAGCGUUAUCCGGAUUUAUUGGGUUUAAGGGGUGCGUAGGCGGAAUGCCAAGUCAGCGGUAAAAUCGGGGGGCUAAACCUCGCUCUGCCGUUGAAACUGGCGGUCUUGAGUGGGCGAGAAGUAUGCGGAAUGCGUGGUGUAGCGGUGAAAUGCAUAGAUAUCACGCAGAACUCCGAUUGCGAAGGCAGCAUACCGGCGCCCAACUGACGCUGAAGCACGAAAGUGUGGGUAUCGAACAGGAUUAGAUACCCCUGUAGUC